AUUUCCACCCGACUGGACCCUGACCACAGAGAAGCUGUGUGUUCAGCCACAGGGGUUAAAUCAGACGUCUCCAUCUCAUGGAGAACUUCAUGGAACGCCACUGUAACCAGCAGCUCUGUACACAACCCAGAUGGCUCCUACACCAUGGAGAUCCGGCUCAAACUGCCCGACCAUGUGUAUGGUACCACGCUGCAGUGCAUAGUGACACACCCCAGCUGGACAGAGAAUUAUACACAGACACUUCAGCUCCUCGAUCCAUUAAUAGGCAGAAGAAACUUUAAAGUCUGGCAGUGGAUAAUCAUUUAUCUCACCCUAUUCUGCUUUUUAACGGGCAUUCUUGUUGGACUUUACAUCUUAAGAAAACAUCUCAGCAAGAUAAGACAUUGCUGCAAGUUAAGCACGUCAGCAGCCCCCUCACUCCGCCAACCACAAAAACGUUGGUGAAGGUGUGUAAAAUGUGGCAGUAGUUGAACCAAAUAGUGAGAUUUGGGGGGCAUCGUUAGGCCUAUUUUAGUGGGACUUUUGUGCCCUUUAAAAUGUUUUUCAGCCCCCUAAAAAAAUAUGUAUUUAUUGGCUUAAGUAGUGAAUAGUUUGUCAUCAGCCCCCCCCCCUCCUCUAAUUGCACUCAGCCCCCUAUCCAUUCAUCUCUAACUAUGUCCCUGGAGAGACUGAAUCAAUAGCCCAUACCUCCCACAAUACUGAUAUAUUCCUGUUUUCCCUCAAGUUUCCCUGAAGUAGGAGAAGUCAACCAUGGGAACUGUUGAUUCUCCUCUAAACUAGCACUAACUGAUUAAUUUAUUGUGAUAAAUUGUAACUUCUGAAAACCAAUCUGAUGAUUUGAAAAAGCACACCGGUUUUCAUGCAUAUAUAUUAAGAAAAAGAAAUCUAUGGAAAAUCUGUAGUUAUAUGUUGCUAUUGUUAAGCAUAUUUAGUGUAUUUCACAAAACUUUAUUUAACUAAUUGAAUAAAAUGUUUAAUGGUGUGAAAUGUAAAAUUUUGAUAGUCUUCUUUCCUGAAACCCUACACCUGUUCUGUUUCCCAGAAUAGUUCUUCUGUACUCUGUAGCAGGUCUUAUAUCUUAAUAAAAUAUAACCUCUUCUGGGUGCUAAAAAGCAAAAUAAAACUUUAUUUCAUUUCUUCUCAGAGGGGAGAGGGUGUGAAUGUGAGAGCAGACUGCUGUAGCGCAUUGCAGGAGUUCUUUGACAAUUCAUACUGCACAUCUACACCGUUCUUUAUGUUUUGUUCUGAAACCCACCAGCCACAGCUUCCGGCUGUGAGUCUACAGCAGUGACCUGUUUUCCUGGCUAAUGAUGCAUUAUUAGCUGUACUGUUAGUCAAAAUCAAAAAAUAUCAAAAAUGAUUGGUGUUCAAGUAUGGACAAUACUGCUAGAAAUAAAAAAACUAUA
This is a non-coding RNA of Paramormyrops kingsleyae, 1406 nucleotides long. Lineage: Eukaryota; Metazoa; Chordata; Actinopteri; Osteoglossiformes; Mormyridae. The record is from RefSeq and is a predicted model, not a curated record.